RNAcentral lists this long non-coding RNA (622 nucleotides) under Nicotiana benthamiana. RNAcentral describes it as "long non-coding RNA (NBEN_LNC018099)". Lineage: Eukaryota; Viridiplantae; Streptophyta; Magnoliopsida; Solanales; Solanaceae. The record is from RNAcentral.
AGAGAACUAAAGAAGUAUAGAAAAUCAGAGGUGACUGAAAAACUAAAAGAAAAAUCCAUGUUAUAUUGAAUUUCUGAUUUUGAUUUUUGUCAUUCAAAAAAAGGGAAAAUCUGGUUCAUUUAGAGAAUUUGGGAUGGUUUGAUUUUGAAUACAAAAGGGUUUUGGGUUGAGUUUUUUGGAGGUUCACUGUUUAAUUGAUUUGGGGGUUGAAUUUGUUUUGUUUUGGGUCUUAAGUAUGGGCUACUUAGUUGCUGAGUUUUGAAGUUGCUUCUGGUCUAUUUGCAUCAUUUCCUGGGUGGAGAAACUGGUUGUUUAUUGUUGAUUCUGUCCUGCUAGCUGCUGAUUUCCUCACUCCUUUUCUUUUCCAUUUUCAGGUAUUCCUAUCAACACUUGGUCAUCAUCUAAAUGUAAUGAAGUUGGGGAUUGGAGUAUGGAAAAAUGUGUAAAGUAGUCUAUAGUCAGCUAUAUUUGCUUUCUUCAGUUACUUAUGCUGUAAGAUUUAAUUUUGGAAGUGCUUUGGUUUAAAUGUUGAUAAGUGUACUUAGGGAUGAUGAGUAAUAUGUAAGCCAUGAUUAGCUCGAUGUAAUUUAUUUCUCUCCAAGUCAUGUUAUUGUGUUUUGAG